RNAcentral lists this long non-coding RNA (263 nucleotides) under Elaeis guineensis (African oil palm). RNAcentral's name for it is "long non-coding RNA (EGUI_LNC051939)". The record is from RNAcentral. Lineage: Eukaryota; Viridiplantae; Streptophyta; Magnoliopsida; Arecales; Arecaceae.
UAUGCAUAACCACUGCUAUACAUGACCUAUGGCAGCAUAUGCAUAACCAUUGCAAUAGACAUAUGGCAGCAGUUAUGAAUAACCACUGCCAUAGGUAGAAUAUAAAUUUUAUAUUUUUCUCUGAAUAUAGUAUAAUUUUAGAAUUUAAAAUUCAUCUUCAUCAUUCAUUAUCUAUGUAAUUAUCAUUCGAGUGUCGUCACAAAAGACUACUUUGAUCCGAUAGCCCUAACUAUGUUGAUCAAUAAAAUUUGAUUUUGAUGGCC